UUCGAGACCAACCACACACGCACGCGCCCGCGGCAUCAUUAAAAUAUUGUUUCUAAAACUGCGUGAAAAAUAUUCUCGGAUUAGGUCGAAACUUGGCGUGCGGUCUUAUUUUAAUGUAGGUAGGCCGCCUGCCAAAUUUUGUCGCAGUCGGAGUGCGUUUGAUACCCGAACGGUUGACCGUAUCGGCACCGUCAUCGGUUUAUUUGUCGGACGUUUUUUGGUGUUUAAAAGUCUUGUGCCGGGCCGCAAACCCCUCUCUUCUCUCAGACCAUCAUGCUUACACAGCCCACCUAGCCCAUCAACACCAUACCCACGCCCGGAGCCGUCUGAUCGAGAUCGUACUGAUCGAAAACGGGAAAAAACCCUCAAACC
Molecule: long non-coding RNA, 372 nt
Filed under: Hordeum vulgare
Lineage: Eukaryota; Viridiplantae; Streptophyta; Magnoliopsida; Poales; Poaceae
Description: long non-coding RNA (HVUL_LNC009256)
Source: RNAcentral